RNAcentral lists this ribosomal RNA (253 nucleotides) under uncultured bacterium. RNAcentral describes it as "partial 16S ribosomal RNA". It matches the Rfam family "Bacterial small subunit ribosomal RNA", at positions 524 to 776 of the family's 1533-position model. The record is from RNAcentral.
UACGUAGGGUGCGAGCGUUGUCCGGAAUUAUUGGGCGUAAAGGGCUCGUAGGCGGUUUGUCGCGUCGGGAGUGAAAAUCCAGGGCUUAACUCUGGACUGGCUUCCGAUACGGGCAGACUAGAGGUAUGCAGGGGAGAACGGAAUUCCUGGUGUAGCGGUGAAAUGCGCAGAUAUCAGGAGGAACACCGAUGGCGAAGGCAGGUCUCUGGGCAUUAACUGACGCUGAGGAGCGAAAGCAUGGGGAGCGAACAGG